Non-coding RNA from Punica granatum (pomegranate), 73 nucleotides. NCBI's taxonomy places the organism in Eukaryota, Viridiplantae, Streptophyta, Magnoliopsida, Myrtales, Lythraceae. The record is from Rfam.
AUGCAUAUGAUGAGAUAACUCGGAUUCCCCUUCAGGACAGUAUGGGUGAUGCAAGCUCGAGUUUUCUGAUGCA